This is a long non-coding RNA of Eriocheir sinensis (Chinese mitten crab), 619 nucleotides long. RefSeq lists it as uncharacterized. Lineage: Eukaryota; Metazoa; Arthropoda; Malacostraca; Decapoda; Varunidae. The transcript is spliced from 3 exons. The record is from RefSeq and is a predicted model, not a curated record.
CUGCCCGGGUUUAUUGUUCGGAGUUUGCUCUCCUAGGUGAAUUGCCUACCACGGCUAACGACCUCCACCUGCCCGGGUUUAUUGUUCGGAGUUUGCUCUCCUAGGUGAAUUGCCUACCACGGCUAACGACCUCCACCUGCCCGGGUUUGUAUAGAGUUUGCUCUCCUAGGUGAAUUGCCUACCACGGCUAACGAGCCUCACCUGCCCGGGUUUGUUUAGAGUUUGCUCUCCUAGGUGAAUUGCCUUCCACGGCUUACGAGCCUCACCUGCCCGGGUUUGUAUAGAGUUUGCUCUCCUAGGCAGAUUGCCUACCACGGCUAACGAGCUCCACCUGCCCGGGUUUGUAGCCGGAAGAUCUCCGGCACCUCCGUCGGGGCCCCGAGGGACGCCGAGGAGCCCUGCCUGGAGCCCUCCAUUCCUGCCAUGCUCGCCAGGGAGACCUUGGGCUCGCUGGCGCUCCACACCCCUGCCGAGGCGAGGAUGCAAGAACUCGCUUCUUAAAACUACCAGACUGGAUUAUAAAAUUAAUCAUAAUUACUGUGAAGGCGCCGGUCACCACGUUUAUCGGUUCAGGGAUGGAAGACCGACGGGCCUGGGAAACGCGCACAAGCAUCCAAAG